Molecule: long non-coding RNA, 880 nt
Organism: Oncorhynchus keta (chum salmon)
Lineage: Eukaryota; Metazoa; Chordata; Actinopteri; Salmoniformes; Salmonidae
Exons: 4
Source: RefSeq, a predicted model, not a curated record
UACAUUGGAUAUUUACCCUGUAACCCUUACCGUUACAUCCUAGUCGUGUCCAGCGGGAGGGGCUAGCUAAGGAGGGCGGGGACAGGAAAUAUGUGGGUGGUAUGUAGUGAUUAAAGGGAGAGGCUGUGGCAGCAGCAUUGUGAGGUGAUUAAAGCAGGGAGAGAGAGGCUGUGGCAGCAGUAUUGUGAGGUGAUUAAAGCAGGGAGAGAGGCUGUGGCAGCAGCAUGGUGAGGUGAUUUAAGCAGGGAGAGAGAGGCUGUGGCAGCAGCAUGGUGAGGUGAUUAAAGCAGGGAGAGAGAGAGAGAGAGGCUGUGGCAGCAGCAUUGAGAGGUGAUUAAAGUAGGGAGAGAGAGGCUGUGGCAGCAGCAUUGAGAGGUGAUUAAAGCAGGGAGAGAGAGAGAGAGGCUGUGGCAGCAGCAUUGAGAGGUGAUUAAAGGAGAGAGAGAGAGAGAGGCUGUGGCAGCAGCAUUGAGAGGUGAUUAAAGCAGGGAGAGAGAGAGAGAGGCUGUGGCAGCAGCAUUGAGAGGUGAUUAAAGCAGGGAGAGAGAGAGAGAGGCUGUGGCAGCAGCAUUGAGAGGUGAUUAAAGUAGGGAGAGAGAGGCUGUGGCAGCAGCAUUGUGAGGUGAUUAAAGCAGGGAGAGAGAGGCUGUGGCAGCAGCAUUGAGAGGUGAUUAAAGUAGGGAGAGAGAGGCUGUGGCAGCAGCAUUGAGAGGUGAUUAAAGCAGGGAGAGAGAGAGGCUGUGGCAGCAGCAUUGAGAGGUUAUUAAAGUAGGGAGAGAGAGGCUGUGGCAGCAGCAUUGAGAGGUGAUUAAAGCAGGGAGAGAGAGGCUGUGGCAGCAGCAUUGAGAGGUGAUUAAAGUAGGGAGAGAAAGAGGCUGUG